This 939-nucleotide ribosomal RNA is filed under the name uncultured Bacillota bacterium. RNAcentral's name for it is "bacterial SSU rRNA". It matches the Rfam family "Bacterial small subunit ribosomal RNA", at positions 1 to 917 of the family's 1533-position model. Lineage: Bacteria; Bacillati; Bacillota. The record is from RNAcentral.
UGGAUCCAGACUUUGAUUAUGGCUCAGGACGAACGCUGGCGGCGUGCUUAACACAUGCAAGUCGAACGGGGUGUUUAUUUCGGUAAACACCAAGUGGCGAACGGGUGAGUAACGCGUAAGCAAUCUACCUUCAAGAUGGGGACAACACUUCGAAAGGGGUGCUUAUACCGAAUGAAUGUAAGAGUAUCGCAUGAGACACUUACUAAAGGAGGCCUCUGAAAAUGCUUCCGCUUGAAGAUGAGCUUGCGUCUGAUUAGCUAGUUGGUGAGGGUAAAGGCCCACCAAGGCGACGAUCAGUAGCCGGUCUGAGAGGAUGAACGGCCACAUUGGGACUGAGACACGGCCCAGACUCCUACGGGAGGCAGCAGUGGGGAAUCUUCCGCAAUGGGCGAAAGCCUGACGGAGCAACGCCGCGUGAACGAAGAAGGUCUUAGGAUCGUAAAGUUCUGUUGUUAGGGACGAAGGGUAAGAAUCAUAAUAAGGUUUUUAUUUGACGGUACCUAACGAGGAAGCCACGGCUAACUACGUGCCAGCAGCCGCGGUAAUACGUAGGCGGCAAGCGUUGUCCGGAAUUAUUGGGCGUAAAGGGAGCGCAGGCGGGAAACUAAGCGGAUCUUAAGAGUGCGGGGCUCAACCCCGUGAUGGGGUCCGAACUGGUUUUCUUGAGUGCAGGAGAGGAAAGCGGAAUUCCCAGUGUAGCGGUGAAAUGCGUAGAUAUUGGGAAGAACACCAGUGGCGAAGGCGGCUUUCUGGACUGUAACUGACGCUGAGGCUCGAAAGCUAGGGUAGCGAACGGGAUUAGAUACCCCGGUAGUCCUAGCCGUAAACGAUGGAUACUAGGUGUGGGAGGUAUCGACCCCUUCCGUGCCGGAGUUAACGCAAUAAGUAUCCCGCCUGGGGAGUACGGCCGCAAGGUUGCAACUCAAAGGAAUUGACGGA